GGGAGAGAUGGAGCUUUGAUGUGGGAGGCUGUUGUCUCUGGAUAAAGCUUUAUAUUAUUAUGUAAAACAUGAAGGGCACUGGUUAGAAAACUGCUGAUUAAUUUAAGAACUCUGUCUUCUCCGGCUCUUCCCCCUCCUUUGUGUAAGGAGUGAGGGGGAGGCAGAAUCACUUGAGAAACGAACCUCUUAGUCCCGGGCUCACGGCAGAGGACAACAGUGGAAGGGAGAGGUGGUACCACCACCGCCUGGCCCGGCCCGAAGCUCCGCGCGGCUGGAGCGGGGGCUGGCACCCAUCCGGCACCCCAGGGGCUGCUCCGCUGCCAGGGCCUCUUGCCCCAGCCCGGCCGGCGCUGCCGCCGAAGGCAUAAUGAGAACAGUACGCCCCUCACCCCCAAAAAUCAAUACGGAGACCUAGGGGGUCACCUAAUUGGAUACUGCUCGCCGAGAGGCCGUUACAAUAAGAAACCCAACCACACCACUUCAGAAUGUCUGCGAGAUCGUAAAUCAUAUUCCGAGCCCGGCUCAGCCUUCUCUCUGUCUCGAUGCUUCAUUGAUCCCAUGCUGUCGCUCCCCCCUGCAUGAGAGAGCUGGCGGCGGACGCGGCUGCUGCCGAGCCGGGCUGUGCCGAGCCCGGCCGCCCUGCCUUGGCUGGACAGGCGGUGCUCCAGGCUCCCAGGGAUGUCCUUUGGUGGUUUUUCUUAGCAAGUUAACCGUUUAUCUUUUUAGCAAAGAAAUUAAUUUGGAUUUGCUGCUUUAUUUGUUUUGGUGCUGGCUUUGGAAACAACCCAAGGAUGUCAGCUAAAUAAAAGAUGCUGGGAUCUGUUCCUCUUAUGCUGGGCUGGACCUUCCCACCCAAGGCCGCGCCAGGGGAGCAGACCUAGUCUCCCUUUCAUCUAGGACUUUGCUGUUCUCUAGUUAUUCUGCAGUUACAGAAACCACAAGGCUGGAAGAGGGGAAGAAAAAAGAAAAGAUUAAAUUAAUGAGCAGCGUCCCAGGUGUCCCCCGCUUUGACAUGCAGAAUAUUCCCAGACAGCGCCGGCUUCGGGGCAGCCCAGGAGCGAUAAAGCUUCAGCCUCUGCUACAGUCUCAGCUUUGCUUCUCACUACAUAAAGGUCUCUGUAUCUGGCAUUUGAUGGCCUCAGCCUCGUAAGUAGCCAUAAAAAUGUAAGGGCAACUACACCUUAAGGUAUUGUUUCCCCAUCAUCUCUCCCUGAUACACACGAGCGCGUUGCCGCGUGUUACCAGCCGCUCCUGGCUGGGGAGAAACGACGAGAAUCAGUUACGAGCAGCAUCACAGGAGGGAGAUUUAAAGGCCACCUCCUCUUUGCUCUUCAUUAGAAACCUCUUUGGUAAGCAACCCCGCUUGCACCACUCGGCGUAGCCGAGCUGAAGUUCCAGCAGUCGGGAAGCCUCCGGAGACGUGUGACGGUGCUGCCCGGGCGCUGCUCCGACGCCAGGCGGGGAAGGGAGGCGGGUCCCGGGGUACGGACAAAAGACGCCAGGUCCCCGAGGAGCCGUUGGGAGAGCCUUAAAGCUGGUGGGUAUGUCUGAUGUCAGCUUUCAUCGUUUCAUGGAUCCCACUGAACCUACAUCCAUCAGUUAGAGGCUUUCAAAGUGCAGGGGAAUAAAGCUCCUCAUCUAUAACGGCCCCAAAAAUGCCUUUUGGCAGCUUUAUUGCCUGCCACAUGCGGGGAAAGGAGCACAUGCAGUCUAAGAACCAGAAACCACCUCAAUAAUUCUAUUAGUAACCAACAAAAGUUAGGGCGAGGGGAGCUUUGUUUUCUCCAAGGGAGAGAGAGCAACCCAGGGCUGCUGGAGCUCUCCGGAGGAGCACUGGCAUGGAUCUCAAGCUGGUUUGGACCUCGACGCCACUGCUGGGAGCCUUGCGUGCUGCCGAUGGGAGCCUGGUGAGUAGGAAGAGGUUUGUACCCACCAGGAAAACCGGCCCCACGUGAAUCUGUGGCGGAAACCUCCAGAGCGUGCGCAUUGACCCCAGGAGGGAUGCGUUAAACCUGCAGGUACGAUGCCGCAACCGGCAUGGCGCGAACUCCACUGCCGGCCUUCACGAGCACAGGAAAGGUCUGCCCGGGCAGCGGGCGUAGGCUGGAGGCAGCACGGCAGGUCUCUGCCGGACCUGCCUGCUCUGUCAGAACAAGCUGGCAUCAAAGCCAGCCCCAGAGCUCGGCCUCGUCCCGCUGCCUCAUCCGCUUCGUCGCUCCCGGCGGCACGAGGCUACAGAUGGGUCCCUUUCCAUCCCUCCGACCCCAUGGGGCUGCGUCUCGCUGCAAUUCCCCAACCCCAUGAAAAGAGUCAGGUAGAGCAAGCCUCGGAAGCCGGGCUCGGUGUGCAGGCUGCCGGGGGUGCGGACCCCGCGCUGGCCCCCCCCCCGGGGUGCCAGCCCCUGGCUCCGGCAGCGGCCGCGCCGGCAGAUGGGCUCCCGGCGUCCAGAUGUUGUCACCGGGAAGCCCUGUCAGGGGUUGCUGGCCGGGGUCUCGUUCUCGCCUGUCAGACUUGACAUCUUCAGCGUAUAAUUAAAUGCCAGGACGCGAGCGGCAGAGCAGGUGCAUGCUAAUGAGGAGAUCAAUUUUAAUUAUGAUUUUAAUUAAACACCCAAUCCAGUAGGAAAUAUGACAAGCAGGCUAGAAACGCAAAAUUUAUAAUGGGGAAGAAGAACGGCGCGAGAGAGGGAAGAAGGAAGCGAGGCGCGUGCACGAGCAGAGCGAUGGGGAAACGGCUUCGUGAGGGCCAAGCAGCUAACGGGCAGGGGCGAGGGGCGUCCUGCUCGGGCCCCAGCAGCCCCCGGGCUUUCUGCCGGGGCAGGCGCCGCGUCCCCAGAAGCCUUGCUGGCAGCGGGAGGUCGUAGCUCGUUCCCCAGUCAAUGGGGCGUGGGUGAAACCCCUCCGGGCCUUCACUUGCCUCUGCAAGGCGUCGCGGCUGCCCUCCCCUGCUCCCCGCGAGCCACCUACACGCCGAUUUAUUACUGGGGGGGGGCGUAAGUACAAAGCACAGUUAGGUAGAAGGAAGGACGCUUUGGUGGUGACGAGACAGGGCUGAAACGGGGGCAUCUCGGUCGGGUCCCUAGCUCCAAGAGCCGGCCCCCGCGUCGCCGUGCCCACGCAGCGCCGAAGGAGGGCCGGGGCCCCUCUCGGCUCCGCCGCCUCGCCGGCCCGGCUGCGUGGGCUGCACGCUCUUCAGGCUGGCUGAUGGCUGGCGGCGAAUCACUCCUCUCAGCGGGAUGCUCUCAGCACAAUCAGAAGACAAAAAAAGAAGCUGAAAAUUUCAAGAGUUUCCAUAAUUUGAUGAGGAAAGCUCAAAACCCCCCCAUAUUUAACAUUCUGUUGUUGUUUUUGCCAGCGCCUGGGUUUUGUAGGGCCUAUACAAACCCCGUGGCUGGGCGGUUUGGCGGCAGCGCUGCGAGGAGGGAGCUCGGGCAUUGCCUUCGCUGCUGCCCGGCCCCGGCGGCGGCCGGAUGCCUCGCGCUGGAAGCCGAAGGCAAUGCGACCGCUCCGCUUCUUAAAAACAGAUGUGUCAAUUUAGACUCGGUGGCAAAACACAGGAGGAGGGGGAAAUCAGCUCGAUGGGAGCCAGCUGAGAAAGGAGCAAAACAGGGCGAGGAGAGGCUAUCUGCCAGGGACUCGCAUGCUCUUGUAAACCACAGGGUGUGCAACUGCAGCGUAGGAAUCGGCUAUAAAAGGAAUUACCACUAAAUGGAGAUCUCUGGCAAGAGGCUUUAGAGAGGCCUGUGUUACGGAGGGGGGGCUGUGGUUUUGGAUCACAGAUCAGAGGGAACCUUUGGGAUCUCUCAGUGUACAGCCCGGUACAUUUGGCUGCUGUGGAUUAACUCCUGUGUGAACUCAGCCGUGCUUCAAAAGAGCAAAUCCCUCCCUGAAUUACAGUCUCCCCAGAACAGGAAACCCUCCAUCUCUCCUGCCGUGGCUAAAUUCCACCUCGUUACUCAUCCAAAUCUGCCUCCUGAACUUGUUACCUUCGCGGCAUUAUGGGAAGCCUUUAACGGAGCGAUCGGUGAACCACUGAAAUCAGAUUUUUCUCUUCCCGGCACAGGUGGAUCCAGGGCAGCUCGUGCCACAGCGGCCGCUUGAGCUCCCGAGCGGCGGGGGCAGCCCGAGGCAGCCCGUCCCCUCCCUGCACGACGGAGGGACGAGGAGCGGGGAUGCUCUGCUGGUCCGAGGCCCCGGUAGAGCAACGGGAGCGAAAAAAAGUGUUCCCUGCCACCUGGCCAUUACCCCAUUCAUCCAGGACAUUGGAUCUCCCGGGCUGGACGCCGGUGGAGGCGAAGACCGCCGCUUAUUGCCUGUGGGCAGAUCACCUGCCCUAACGGCGCUGUGGCUUGGUAAAGGCUUCUGAAGUGCUACCUCAGUGGACCCGUAACAAUAAUUAUAAUGACUGGCCAGGGUGCCAAACGCCAUUAACAUCCACGGAGUUCAGCUCCUGAGCAACAGCCAUUAAAAUUAAUGCCUUUGGGAGGCUUUUUCCCAACAUUUCUUCGGUGGGCUCACGCUGUUGCCGUUCUCCCUGGUGGAUUUUUGUGCUGGUGAAAACACAAUGAAAAGAGUGAACUUAAUAGAGAAAAAAACAUGCACAAAAAGCUAGUAAUGCUACAAAACGUUGUGCUACUCCUGCAUCUUCUGAGAUUUCCGUGUGUAAAUAAAGAAUCCGGCUUUGCUCCCUCUGACAGACUUGCUGGAAGCGCUCCCGAUAAAGCUCCUUACGAAACACCGCUGUUGUCUAAGGACGCGAGUUCUUUGAGCCGCACUCGCGGGUCCUUGGGACGUCACGGGCAGAGCCUUUCGCGGGGCUUGGAGGCGCAAGAAAUCCCCCCACUCCACCCCACGUCUCCCCUCCGGGCAGCCUAUGCAUGAGGCAAGUGUUUCACGUUAAUGCGGAUUGACAUAUGGUAGGGUUUUUUUUAAAAAAAGUAGUUCUGCUCGUUCCCCAGGCAGUUUUGAUGUGAAUAUUAAUAUUAACGUAAUUUCAUGAUGAUUAGAGAACACAAUUAGGGGCUAUUAAUAAUGACACAAAUAAUGACAUUUAAGGCCUCAUUUUCAUGUGAGUAAUACUCUGUCUGGUGGUAUUUAAACAGCUCUGUCUAGCACAAUUACUGCGGUGCCAAGGUGCAAGCGCAUAAUCGCAGUAUCAAUCACGCGGCUCCUUGCCGGCGCCUGCCCCCCUGCAGAAGGGACGGGCGGUUCGGGGUCUCCUGUCACCUGCAAGGGAGCUGGAAGGGAAGGGGGCUGCGGCGAGCGGCGAU
Molecule: non-coding RNA, 5269 nt
Organism: Phalacrocorax carbo (great cormorant)
Lineage: Eukaryota; Metazoa; Chordata; Aves; Suliformes; Phalacrocoracidae
Source: RefSeq, a predicted model, not a curated record